UUACGAGGUCAGGACACUGUGAGGAUUGACAGAUUGAAAGCUCUUCCUUGAUUCAGUGGGUGGUGGUGCAUGGCCGUUCUUAGUUGGUGGAGUGAUUUGUCUGGUUAAUUCCGUUAACGAACGAGACCUUAACCUGCUAAAUAGUCACGCGAACCGGUCCGCAAGGGCUCAAAGUUCGCGGCUCGACUUCUUAGAGGGACUAUUCGCACCCGCCAGCGAAUGGAAGUUUGAGGCAAUAACAGGUCUGUGAUGCCCUUAGAUGUUCUCGGCCGCACGCGCGUUACACUGACGGAGUCAACGAGCGUUUUUCCUUGCCCGACAGGGCCGGGUAACCUCCUGAAACUCCGCCGUGAUGGGGAUGGAUCAUUGCAAUUAUUGAUCUUGAACGAGGAAUUCCUAGUAGGCGCGAGUCAUCAACUCGCGCCGAUUACGUCCCUGCCCUUUGUACACACCGCCCAUCGCUCCUACCGAUUGAACGGUCCGGCGAGAACUCCGGAUGGUC
RNAcentral lists this ribosomal RNA (502 nucleotides) under Vermamoeba vermiformis. RNAcentral's name for it is "SSU rRNA". It matches the Rfam family "Eukaryotic small subunit ribosomal RNA", at positions 1215 to 1719 of the family's 1831-position model. Lineage: Eukaryota; Tubulinea; Echinamoebida; Vermamoebidae. The record is from RNAcentral.